ACGCCCAGAACAGCGCGACCUGGGUGUUCAGUGACAGGGAUUGAGAAAGCCUUCAUUGAGGGAGGGCCCGCAGGCAGGGAGCCUCAAGGUGCGCUCAGGGAGUGGUGAAUGGACCAGUUUGACUGCUGGGGCACAGCAUUUGUCCUGGGAGCCAGGGCAGAAAGACAAGUGUGGACCCGAGCCAGGAAGGUCUUGGUGAUCUCAAAACAGCAUUUCUUCAUGGUCUUUGUUGUGAGAAGUGGCACUUUCGAUUUUGGACUUCACAGUACAACGUGUCAAUGUCAAGGCUUAUUUGUGAAGUGGGUUUUUGAGAAUCAUUGGUGAAGUCUGCUGAAAUAAGGAAGACCCUGAUAAAAAUUAGUUCCUGGAUUAAACAGGAUGUUUGGCUGAAGCUCAAAUGUCAAGAGAGGCCAGAGAAGACUAAAAUUUUUCUUAAAUGGAGCUAAGAGAAAUGACUCUCAAUGCACCUACCUUAUGAAACAUUAAUUAAGAAAUGGAAACAACCUAAAUGCCCCUCAACUGAUGAAUGAAUAAUGAAAAUGUGGUACAUUUACCCAAUGGAGCUCCACUCAGUAGUAAAGAAGAACACAGUCAUGGAAUUUGCAGGUACUUUAAUAGAGUUUUGAGGAAUAAAUGGAAAAAGAUAUCUGAGUUCUGUCUAUACAUGCCGCUUUGAUUGAGUUUUGGUCAAGGACAACAGUUGCAGAUUUGGGGUUUGCAGUGGAGAGAAGUCCUGAUUUUGAAAUCUUCUGUGCAAACUCAUAAUAUAAAAUAAUGACCAAAGAACAGCUCUGUCGGAUGAGUACUUGUGGGUUUUCUUAGUUUUCUUUGUAGCCUUGGCCUGAGAACACCUGGGAAACAUGGUCUUCAAACCACUGAUUCAGAGGUCUCUGAACACUGUUUAUCUCUUCAUAAUACAUUAAUGAAGUUUAUGACAUUAAGGAAGGAGCAUUGAUUUAUUCCUUUGAAGAUCACUGUUAUUGUUUCUAGUUAUUGACAGGGUAUAAGAAAGUGAUAAAGAGGGCUCAGUGGUUAAGAGCACAUAGUGCUCUUGCAAUGGACUGGAGGUUGGUUCCCAGCACCCGUGGGGCAGAUCACAACUGCCUAUAACUCCAGUUCCAGGGGAUCUGAUACCUCUGACCUCCUCAGGUACAGCAUGCACUAUGCACGCACACAACCACACAUAAUGAAAAAUAAUAAAAAUACAUCUAAAAAAUAAGA
Long non-coding RNA from Nannospalax galili (Upper Galilee mountains blind mole rat), 1221 nucleotides. RefSeq lists it as uncharacterized. The transcript has 5 exons. The record is from RefSeq and is a predicted model, not a curated record. Lineage: Eukaryota; Metazoa; Chordata; Mammalia; Rodentia; Spalacidae.